UAGGGAUCCUACCCUAGCGCCGCCAGCCACUCUCUCACGGGAUCCCCACCAAAUCCACCUGCAUCCUCCCUCGAAUUCCCCAACCUGCCAACCACCUCUCCAUCGAUCCCCGGAUCUGCAGCAUCCAGCCCGCUGCGCUCGUGCGUGAGCACCCGAGGGGCCUCGCCCGCGCGUCCUCUGCUGCACUGUCACCGAAGACCGCACCAGCAGGCCCCGUGUGCUCCGUCCCUCUGCUCACCCACGCCGAACGCCUCGACCUCCUCCUCAGCCGGCGAGCAGAUCCGUCGGACCGCAAGAAGCACCCCGUUGCGCUCCCUCUCCUCUCUUCCUAACCAGGAGACCGACGCCGUGAUGAGACUACAGUCGUGUCGCUGAUGUCCGCGUCCAGACCACGAGCCCCAGGUCACGACGGAGCCUUUGUCUCGUCAUUUCCCUCAACCGCGGUCUCUCUUUCUCCCCCCUCGCUAAUCUCAUCCCUCUCCCCUUCUUUUCUCUGCAGAGGAGAUCUGAGGGAUGCCCGAGCCAUGGAGAUGAGCCGCCAUGGAAGGGUUGCCCCGCCGUUGGUGCCUCCAGCCCUGUAGGAGUGUCACUUUUGGCUAGAUCUGUUGCCUCCCACCGUUCCUCUCGUCGACUCAGCCCCGCCUUGGCCUGUCGAAGCCGCCAACUCCUGCUGCUGUGGCAUCCUGUACCACGCGAAGCCGGCGCACAUGUGUCCCGCUCACUCGAACGCGUGAGCUCAAGGGAAACACAAACCUUCCAGCGGGCCGGCUUCCCAGCUCCCCCGCUGGCCUGAUCUGGCUCGAGGUGAGACUUCACCUCCGCGUCAUGCCUUGGGAGGUUGAAGCCCCACAUUGCCGGAAUCCAAUCCUAGCUCAGCUGAUUAGCCAUGCUCUGUCUCACCCAGUAGACCAGGGUUCAAAUCCCUAGUUACACAUAUUGUGUUUCCCACCAUAUUAGUAUGUUUUCUGCACUUUUGUUACAGCUAAUCUUGCAUAUUUGGAUUAUAUGCCACUCAUUUAAAAUGCAUGCAUCUUUUAAACAGUGCGUUAAAUCGAAAUGUGGAACGUGUAAAAUUUCGUGUAGAUUAAUAUUUUUCAACACUCAUGCAGAUUUAAAGCUAUUAACCUUGCCGUUUGCCUCGUUUUGCGUGAUGUUAUGCUAAAACGGUUUAAUUCGAAGCUUGUUAACCGUAGCUCAGUUGGAGAUGAGCUAUGUAUGUAAACCGACAAGAAUUAUGUGUAGUUUCACGUGAACCACUUUAUUUCGACGUUUAACAAAUAUAAAAUAUGUUAGUUCAGAUCUGGACCAAUUUUGAUUUAUCACAUGGGGUCAUUUCGGAAAUACUAUAUGUUGUUUCCGACCUCAUUUAAAAUUCCUCGCUAGUGUAGUUUAUUUCUGAUUCACCUCUUGCCAUGAUAAUAACAUUUUAAAAUUUUCGUGUACCUAAACGAUUGUGAACUAAAUAUUUGAAUGUGGAGUUUCGUCAAUAUGCAACUUGUUGCAUACUGAGCUUCACUUAAUGUGUAGUGUUUGAUUGUUGUGAAUUGUCAUGCCGUAGCUUGCAUAAUUAAACUGGGCAUACAUCAUAUGUGUUGUGCAUCAUAUCGUUCAUGUGUCGUGGUGAAUAUCAUGUGUUGAUUCUUGUUUUCAGUUUGCUUCUUCUCGAUAGAGUUCCGCAAGCGUGUUGAAAUGUGAGGAUCCGUUCAACUACUUCGGUUCGCCUGCUUCAUAGAUUCGUUCUUCUUCCAAGCGGGAUCUCAAGCAAGAUGACCAUUUCCCUAGAUAACAUUACUAUAAUUGUGAUGCUGGUUGUUUCCUUUCUAUCGCUAUGUUUUGCAGCCUACCACCUAUUAAAUGUCAGCCUCCCAACGUUGCCAUGAAAACCUCUUAUCUUUCCACAACCCAGCAAACCACUGGUUUAUAUCGUUGCUACUUAAUUUAAUGCACCUAUAUCCUAUACACGUGCAGUUGCUUCCAUGUGAAAACAUGGGUUCCUUGUUAUAUCACCAUAUACUUGCUACUUAAUUUAACACACCUAUAUAAUUGGUAAAGGGUGGAAGGCUUGGGUCUCUAGUCUGAUGUUUUGUUCCAUCUUUGUCGUCUUAGUUUUGUCUACCGGUGUUAUGUUCCAUAAUUGAGCAGUCCUAACACGCUCGGGGUUGUUUUGGGGACCCCUUUGAUAAUUCGUUUUAGUUUAAUCUGGUCUGGCAAGGCCCAACUUUGAUACUACAUUUGCCUAAUAACCUAAUAAAAUUGCAUAGGGACUUUCCGGACCCAUAGAUAAUUGAUAAACCCUCGAGCCAGUGCUCUGCAUGAGUGUUGGUCCAACCUAUCAACUGUCAGUGGCUACCAGGGGCAAUUCUGUGAUUGGCCUACCGGAAGUUUAGACAAUCCGUCAGGUCCUGAGAAUGAGAUACACGGCUCCUAUUGGGUUUGUCCACACGUCAGGCGGCUUUGCUGGACUUGUUUUAUCUUUGAC
This 2479-nucleotide long non-coding RNA is filed under the name Hordeum vulgare. RNAcentral describes it as "long non-coding RNA (HVUL_LNC009235)". The record is from RNAcentral. Lineage: Eukaryota; Viridiplantae; Streptophyta; Magnoliopsida; Poales; Poaceae.